This 477-nucleotide ribosomal RNA is filed under the name uncultured bacterium. Its description in RNAcentral is "partial 16S ribosomal RNA". It matches the Rfam family "Bacterial small subunit ribosomal RNA", at positions 28 to 507 of the family's 1533-position model. The record is from RNAcentral.
GAUGAACGCUGGCGGCGUGCCUAAUACAUGCAAGUCGAGCGAACGGACGAGAAGCUUGCUUCUUUGACGUUAGCGGCGCACGGGUGUGUAACAUGUGGAUAACCUACCUAUAAGUCUGGGAAAACUUCGGGAAACCGGAGCUAAUACCGGAGAAUAUUUUGAACCGCAUGGUUCAAAAGUGAAAGACGGUCUUGUUGGCUGUUGUAGAUGGAUCUGCGCUGCAUGAGCUGGUUGGUGAGGUAACGGCUUACCAAGGCAUUGAUGGGUAGCCGGGCUGAGAGGGUGACCGGCCACAUUGGGAGUGAGAUACGGCCCAGACUCCUACGGGAGGCAGCAGUGGGGAAUAUUGCACAAUGGGCGGAAGCCUGAUGCAGCAACGCCGCGUGCGGGAUGACGGCUUUCGGGUUGUAAACCGCUUUCGCAUGUGACGAAGCGUGAGUGACGGUAAUGGGUAAAGAAGCACCGGCUAACUACGUG